AACGCUAGCGGCAGGCCUAACACAUGCAAGUCGAGGGGUAACAUAGAGUGCUUGCACUCUGAUGACGACCGGCGCACGGGUGAGUAACGCGUAUACAAUCUGCCUCAUACUAGGGGAUAGCCCAGAGAAAUUUGGAUUAAUACCCUAUAGUAUCUUUUAGAGUCAUCUCUUUAAGAUUAAAGGUUACGGUAUGAGAUGAGUAUGCGUUCUAUUAGUUAGUAGGUGAGGUAACGGCUCACCUAGACCACGAUAGAUAGGGGCCCUGAGAGGGGGAUCCCCCACACUGGUACUGAGACACGGACCAGACUCCUACGGGAGGCAGCAGUGAGGAAUAUUAGACAAUGGGCGAAAGCCUGAUCUAGCCAUGCCGCGUGCAGGAUGACGGCCCUAUGGGUUGUAAACUGCUUUUAUACAGGAAGAAAAAACUCUACGUGUAGAGUCUUGACGGUACUGUAAGAAUAAGGAUCGGCUAACUCCGUGCCAGCAGCCGCGGUAAUACGGAGGAUCCAAGCGUUAUCCGGAAUUAUUGGGUUUAAAGGGUCCGUAGGUGGACAAUUAAGUCAGAGGUGAAAUCCUGCAGCUCAACUGUAGAAUUGCCUUUGAAACUGGUUGUCUUGAGUCAUUAUGAAGUGGUUAGAAUGUGUAGUGUAGCGGUGAAAUGCAUAGAUAUUACACAGAAUACCAAUUGCGAAGGCAGAUCACUAAUAAUGUACUGACACUGAUGGACGAAAGCGUGGGUAGCGAACAGGAUUAGAUACCCUGGUAGUCCACGCCGUAAACGAUGGUCACUAGCUGUUCGGACUUCGGUCUGAGUGGCUAAGCGAAAGUGAUAAGUGACCCACCUGGGG
This 848-nucleotide ribosomal RNA is filed under the name uncultured Bacteroidota bacterium. RNAcentral describes it as "bacterial SSU rRNA". It matches the Rfam family "Bacterial small subunit ribosomal RNA", at positions 32 to 878 of the family's 1533-position model. Lineage: Bacteria; Pseudomonadati; Bacteroidota. The record is from RNAcentral.